GCCGCGGUGGUGUAGCCCGGUCCAGCAUGGGGGCCUGUCACGCCCCAGACCCGAGUUCAAAUCCCGGCCGCGGCG
This 75-nucleotide transfer RNA is filed under the name Thermoprotei archaeon. RNAcentral's name for it is "tRNA-Asp". It matches the Rfam family "tRNA". From Rfam's summary of the family: Transfer RNA (tRNA) molecules are approximately 80 nucleotides in length. RNAcentral also lists the same sequence under 1 other name. The record is from RNAcentral. Lineage: Archaea; Thermoproteati; Thermoproteota; Thermoprotei.